Nerophis lumbriciformis (worm pipefish) is the source of this 626-nucleotide non-coding RNA. Lineage: Eukaryota; Metazoa; Chordata; Actinopteri; Syngnathiformes; Syngnathidae. The record is from RefSeq and is a predicted model, not a curated record.
UUAUGAAAUGUUAAUUUUCUCUUUGAUCUUGCAGCACUUUUGGAUAAAUAUAUUUGGAACAGAAGACCAUGUGUAAAAAAAGAUGAUUCAAACAGCAUAAUGAAAGCACAUCAACACUUCUUUCUAAAGAGAAAUUGAAUAAACAGCAGAAACCAGAAGAAAAGCUUGACUCAGACAUGAACACUACCACUCUACUUGAGGAUACCAGAAAGGAUCAGCAAGUUUAUGGAGGAGAAAAUGUGAAACAUGAAGAUGACUUACUGAGUCAAGCAACACUCAGCAACUGGCGAGUAGAAGUUAUCAGAACAAGCAACACAGGCACUUUAAAUCAUGUCACAAUGAGAAAAGUCCCCUCCUCCGCUUCUCUAAAAGAGGAAAACAUUCAUUAAUAAUGAAUCAGGACUCCUGGUGUCAACACCACAAACCCCUUUAAUGCAUACCUUACAGUAAUUGUAACCAGGCCUAACCAUGUGUCAUUAUUGAACAUUUACAGAUGAUUAUUGAUUAUGUGAGCAGUAAAGAUGAUGACAUUACUGUACAUGGUGUCCCAUACAUUUCCAUACACAGGAAAAAUUUAUCUUUUUUUAUCUAAAAAAUAAUGUUGUCAUGGUAACCAUUUGGAAAUC